Molecule: ribosomal RNA, 497 nt
Filed under: uncultured bacterium
Lineage: Bacteria
Description: partial 16S ribosomal RNA
Rfam family: Bacterial small subunit ribosomal RNA
Source: RNAcentral
GAUGAACGCUGGCGGCGUGCCUAAUACAUGCAAGUCGAGCGAACAGACGCUGCGCUUGCUCCUCUGACGUUAGCGGCGGACGGGUGAGUAACACGUGGAUAACCUCCCUAUCAGACUGGGAUAACUUCGGGACACCGGCGCUUAUACCGGAUAAUAUAUUGCACCGCAUGGUUCAAUAGUGAAAGACGGUUUUGCUGUCACUUAUCGAUGGAUCCGCGCCGCAUUAGCUAGUUGGUAAGGUAACGGCGUACCAAGGCAACGAUGCGUAGACGACCUGAGAGAGUGAUAGGCCACACUGGAACGGAGACGGGGACCAGACUCCUAAGGGAGGGAGCAGUAGGGAAUGGUCCGCAAUGGGCGAAAGCUUGACGGAGCAACGCCGCGUGAGUGAUGAAGGUCUUCGGAGCGUAAAACUCGGUUAUGAGGGAAGAACAAAUGUGUAAGGAAAUAUGCACGUCGUGACGGUAACUAAUAAGAAAGCCACGGCUAACUACGUG